RNAcentral lists this ribosomal RNA (317 nucleotides) under uncultured eukaryote. RNAcentral describes it as "partial large subunit ribosomal RNA". It matches the Rfam family "Eukaryotic large subunit ribosomal RNA", at positions 40 to 350 of the family's 3401-position model. The record is from RNAcentral.
AUAUUAUUAAGCGGAGGAAAAGAAACUAACAAGGAUUCCCUCAGUAACGGCGAGUGAAGCGGGAAGAGCUCAAAAUGAAAAUCGGUAGGUCAAACGACCUUUCGAAUUGUAGCCUAGAGACUCAUGGUCAGGAUGCCGCCUGGGUUCAAGUCCCCUGGAAUGGGGCGUCAUAGAGGGUGAGAAUCCCGUUCUUGAUUCAGGAUUGGCUCUGUACGACAUGAGUUCAUCGAGUCGUGUUGCUUGGGAGUGCAGCACAAAAUGGGUGGUAAAUUUCAUCUAAAGCUAAAUACAAGCGAGAGACCGAUAGCGCACAAGUA